ACUCCUACGGGAGGCAGCAGUGGGGAAUAUUGCACAAUGGGCGCAAGCCUGAUGCAGCCAUGCCGCGUGUAUGAAGAAGGCCUUCGGGUUGUAAAGUACUUUCAGCAGUGAGGAAGGUGGGUAUGUUAAUAGCAUACUCAUUUGACGUUAGCUGCAGAGAAGACACCGCGUAACUCCGUGCCAGCAGCCGCGGUAAUACGGAGGGUGCGAGCGUUAAUCGGAAUUACUGGGCGUAAAGCGCAUGCAGGUGGUUUGUUAAAGUCAGAUGUGAAAGCCCGGGCUC
Molecule: ribosomal RNA, 283 nt
Filed under: uncultured bacterium
Lineage: Bacteria
Description: partial 16S ribosomal RNA
Rfam family: Bacterial small subunit ribosomal RNA
Source: RNAcentral